Stegostoma tigrinum is the source of this 2192-nucleotide RNA transcript. It is a transcript of the gene named complement C5-like, with no coding region annotated. The transcript has 3 exons. The record is from RefSeq and is a predicted model, not a curated record. NCBI's taxonomy places the organism in Eukaryota, Metazoa, Chordata, Chondrichthyes, Orectolobiformes, Stegostomatidae.
AACCUGGAAUCAGUGGGUUGUCUGAGGAAGAUGGAUUGGGCAGGAAAGAGGGAAAAGGGUUUGUCAGGAGCUGCUGAUUAAAACAGGAAGCUGACGUGAGCCAGGAUAUAGGGUGUAUUGUAUUUUAUAAGGUGAAUUUAUUCAAACUUGUGCCGCAUGCAUGCGGAAGAGGUCUAUAAGCCUAGCUCGGAGACACUCUUCCAUUUCCAGCUACUCGGAAACGGCAUAUUAAGGCAUUUUCACGUCAGAAUGGUUGCAUGUAACAUUGAUAUAAAAUAAAUUUCAAUGUCAGUUACUUACUACAAAACAGGAUGCCGUUCAGUUUCUGUCAACGUUCUGAGUCCUCGAAUUUCAACAGGACUGCCACUUCCAUACUAUCUUCAGAGCUUCUCUACCCCACCGUCAGCUCACAGCUGGGUCAGUGUCUUGUUGUUAUUGCAGCAAGUCCGUGAGGGUCUCCAAAAACGAACUUGACAUUUGGCGCAAGAGCAGGGUUCCAACAUGUACAGCAGUCUCACCUGGAGGGCUGAAUAAGUGAUCGUUCGAGUGUCAGUGGAGUCAGACAGAUGGGCCCGCAAGAUGUAUUCAGUAGGUGGAUAGAGGCUUUCCCAAAGACAAACAACAAAGCCUCAACACUAGUAAAACUGUUAUUAACUGAAAUAGUACCAAGGUUUGGAGUACCGCGACAAAUUAGUUCGGAAGACGGCUCUCACGUUGUGGGGAAAAUUAAUAAGGAACUGUGUGGUACAUUACACAUCCAACAACGAUUCCACUGUGCCUACCACCCUCGGGCAGCAGGGAUAGUAGAGAGAGCUAAUGCAACACUUAAAACCAAACUAACCAAGUUGACAUCCGAAACCGGCCUUAAUUGGUUAAAGGUUUUGCCACGAGCCUUGUAUCACAUGCGAAUAACACCCCACUCUACUACUGGGCUCUCAGCAGCGGAAAUAGUCUAUGACUGACCCAGCAGAACAACAUGGGAUGCCAAUACCAGCCCACCCAGCAAAACAGACCUAAAUGUGAUGGGAGAAGAAAUGCGAAGACACUUCUGACAACUAACAUCAUCUUGAAAGUUUCUCCAUUUGCCGGUGAAGUGCGCCUUCGGACCACCUCCGCAGACACCGGAACAAGGCCUCGAGAUUCAGGAUCGAUCAUCAUGGCCGCAGAUUGGAGAUUUUGUACUUGUCCGGGACUGGGGUCGCCCCAAGGUGGAAAGGACCGUACCAAGUGUUUCUUCAGACUCCGACAGCUCUUAAAGUUAAAGGACAGAAUCGCUGGAUCCACUUAAGUGACUCUAAAUGAUGGAUUUCCUCAUCGGCAUGCAGUUAACCAUUGGACUGAGUAUUAGUCUGACCAUGCAUGGCCAGCAGGACAAUUUUGUUUUAUAAAACACACAUACGGCUGCACGGGAAUCGGACAGCAUGUUACCCGUUGGCACGAUCUGUAGAAGCAUUAUUUGUGGCAACAUCUGCCUGGAACCCUAGUCAGCUUUAUGAAAUAGAGUAUUCCGGUAAGCCUUGCUGAAGGGAGAGGGGAUGUUGGACACAGGUGUGCAGGGUACAUGUGUGAAACUGGUAGUUAGUGGUCUCUCUGGUUGUGUGGACACUCGACCUGGGCAUGGGAAGGAAGGGGCUAGCUGUACAAAUCCCAACAGCUAUCUGUUUUGCUUUAAUGGAACUGGAACUUGUUGCGUGCCUGCUCUCGUUACUCAUCACCCCCAAAAUACUUCCUGGCCCCAUCGGUGCAUAAAGAGAAAUUGCACCACUAUAGGAGAAUUGUUGAAUUGCCCCUGCUUAGAAUCUAAGCCCAUAUCUGUGACCCCGGGCAUACAGUAGAGUUGUGGGGAUUGCAAUGGCACUCAUGUAGAAACAGACUAUGGGUCAUUUCCAUUUAACUCCGCAAGUUUCCAUCCACGUAAGGAUCAGUCCUCCUGGCACAGCUAUCAAGAAAUACGUGAGUCUGUUUGCCUUCUUAACGAGACCUUCACUGCUACCACUCCAACUCUGCCAGUGCUGUUUGCUGUUGGGACCAUUGAGCCCCUCACUGUCCCUUGUCCCCAACAAGUACAAAUUCAAUGGCGAAUUGUCACACGAUUCCUGAGCUGGGAGUUUUGCGCUGCAUGGCAGAAUCCAGUUGUGUUGGGCUCUUCCUUAGGAUAUGGUUUCCUGGGAACUGUCGGCUUGGGAUGCUCU